GAUGAAGAACUCAGCGAAAUGCGAUAACUAAUGUGAAUUGCAGAAUUCAGUGAAUCAUCGAGUCUUUGAACGCACAUUGCGCCCCCUGGUAUUCCGGGGGGCAUGCCUGUCCGAGCGUCAUUGCUGCCCUCAAGCACGGCUUGUGUGUUGGGCUCCGUCCCCCCGGGGACGGGCCCGAAAGGCAGCGGCGGCACCGAGUCCGGUCCUCGAGCGUAUGGGGCUUUGUCACCCGCUCUGUAGGCCCGGCCGGCGCCAGCCGACAACCCAUCAUCCUUUUCAGGUUGACCUCGGAUCAGGUAGGGAUACCCGCUGAACUUAAGCAUAUCAAUAAGCGGAGGA
This 339-nucleotide unclassified non-coding RNA is filed under the name soil metagenome. RNAcentral's name for it is "partial contains 5.8S ribosomal RNA, internal transcribed spacer 2, and large subunit ribosomal RNA". The stretch from base 1 to 120 matches the Rfam family "5.8S ribosomal RNA", at positions 35 to 154 of the family's 154-position model. The record is from RNAcentral.